CAACUCCUGCGGUGUUCGUGAUGGGUCUUUAUUAAACCCACAACGCUGAAAAGGGACGCCGGAUAAACUCCCGCCGUGGAAUGCAGGCCUCCCGACCCCUCAAAAGGCCGGAAGUUGGAAGCAUAGAAGCGUCGGGGAGGCGACCCACCUGCCAUUACGUGCAGGUUUGAGCGAGGCUCACACGGCAUCGGCGGGAGUUAU
RNAcentral lists this non-coding RNA (201 nucleotides) under Oscillospiraceae bacterium. Its description in RNAcentral is "6S RNA". It matches the Rfam family "6S / SsrS RNA". Rfam says of the family: E. coli 6S RNA was the first non coding RNA to be sequenced, but its function was unknown until recently. It consists of 184 nucleotides that fold into an extended hairpin structure with a large single-stranded internal bulge. The record is from RNAcentral. Lineage: Bacteria; Bacillati; Bacillota; Clostridia; Eubacteriales; Oscillospiraceae.